AAACUGAAAGCUUGGUUUAGACAUAGCUUGUGCUAUGCCACACCAGUGCUUCCCACCUGGUGGUCCAAUGGUGCUUCUUGAGACAUAGACUGUAGUCCAUUAAAUGAUAGGAACUGCUUUAUUUCUUAAAAAAUAAAUGUGCAUUUCUCUGCAAAGCAAUGAGAGAAAAUAAAAGUAAUGAUUUUUCUAUACAUUUUUAUUGGUUAUAAAUCAAGAAUUGCAACAAUAAAGUGAGUUGCUGCAGCACAAGCAGAACAUCACAAGUUCUGGGAGCAAUUCCAUCUCAGAGAGGGGAGCACUGAAUUAAUCUGGGAUCUUUCUACUUUUGCUAAGUAAUGUCCAAGUCACCAACUACUCUGACUCUUUUCCUUUGGUUCUUCACUGGAGCGCUGGACACUAGACUUCAGCUCUGAGUUUGAUUGGUUGGAGAAACAUCUUUUCACCAUGAAAAACUUCUGUGAUGAACACCCAGGCAGCACCUAGAGGAAUGAUAACAAUAUAGAUGGGUCAUGAAGGUUGGAAAAGACCACUAAGACCAUCUAGUCCAGCAUCAACCCACCCUCACCAUGCUCACUAACCAUGUCCCUCAGUACCACAUCAAAGCGGAUCUUGAAUUCCUCCAGAGACAGGACCUCUUCUGUGCUGCAUGCAAGGCUAAAUGCAUAUAGAGGAGACAUUUCCUUUCCACCACGGGGAAAAGAAACAUGUCUAGGUAUUUGGAAAGUGUUUCGUUGUUUGGGUUUUUUGUUUGUUUGUUUUUGCCACCAGUGGGUUGUACAGCCCCUCCUUGCAAAACUAGUACUAGAUGAACGAUGAGCUAGGACUGCAUGAAGUUGGAAUGGUACAGGCUUGAACACUGCCAGAUCCAGUUUGUUCUUCCCAGAUUGCUAAAGCUUACUUUCAAAGGUCUCUUUAUUGGAGAUUGUGUAUUUAAAGCCUCUGAUGCACUGAUAUCUUGCUGUCAAUUGAAUGAAAACAAAUUUCUGUUACUUUGUAAUUUAAGGAGGACCUUUCAAUAAAAAUAUGUUUAC
Long non-coding RNA from Gallus gallus (chicken), 1031 nucleotides. NCBI's taxonomy places the organism in Eukaryota, Metazoa, Chordata, Aves, Galliformes, Phasianidae. The record is from Ensembl.